This 253-nucleotide ribosomal RNA is filed under the name uncultured bacterium. Its description in RNAcentral is "partial 16S ribosomal RNA". It matches the Rfam family "Bacterial small subunit ribosomal RNA", at positions 524 to 776 of the family's 1533-position model. The record is from RNAcentral.
UACGUAGGGUGCAAGCGUUAAUCGGAAUUACUGGGCGUAAAGCGUGCGCAGGCGGCUUUGCAAGACAGAUGUGAAAUCCCCGGGCUUAACCUGGGAACUGCAUUUGUGACUGCAUGGCUAGAGUGCGGCAGAGGGGGAUGGAAUUCCGCGUGUAGCAGUGAAAUGCGUAGAGAUGUGGAGGAACACCGAUGGCGAAGGCAGCCCCCUGGGUCAAGAUUGACGCUCAUGCACGAAAGCGUGGGGAGCAAACAGG